CAAAUAUACACUCUUACUUGGACAAGACAAAAAGUCUUUUAUAGAGAGUUUUACUGCAUCAGUAGAUCAAAAAUUCAUCUCUUUGAUGUCAUUAAGCUCUGAUGGUUGUAUAUAUGAAGCCUUGAUACCAAUACGUCCAACUGACCCAGAAAAAAAUCAGAGCUUAGUUAGAUCACUGUCGCUCAAGGCUGUUGUGUCUGGUAAUGCUCCAAAUGGAGUUGCACUCACUGCCCUGGAUCAGGAUCACGUCACAGUCCUAGGAAGUCCACUAGCAGCUUCUAAGGAAUGCCUCUCUGUAUGGAACAUAAAAUUUCAAACACUACAGACUUCAAAAGAGUUACCACAAGGGACCAGUGGUCAACUCUGGUAUUAUGGGGAGAAUUUGUUUAUGCUACGUGGAAAAUCUCUAGCUGUGAUUCCAUACAACUGUGAAGUGUCAUCAUUAGUAGGUGCUCUUGGAAAACUCAAGCAUAGUCAAGAUCCAGGAACUCAUGUUGUGCCCCAUUUUGCAAACUGGGAAACACCUCAAGGAUGUGGACUUGGGUCCCAGAACUCAGAGCAGUUAAGAAGAAUUUUAAGGAGAUGAAAAAUUGAAGUGAGUUUACAGCCAGAGGGAUCACCAUCCAAACAACUUUUGUCAACCGCAAUGAAAGAUUCAGAAAAGCACAUUGAAGUAGAAGUAUGGAAAUUUUUGGCUCUGAAGCAGACACCUGACUUUCAUACUGUCACUGGGGACACAGUAACAGGACUUCUGGAAAAGGUGUAAAGCAGAACGAUUGUUUUAUCCCCGGAACUGUCUGAUGCAGCUUAUCCAAACGCAUGUGCUUUCUUACAGUUUGUGCCCUGACUUAAUGGAGAUUGCCUUAAAAAAGAAAGAUGUACAGGUGUUACAACUCUGUCUACAGCAGUUCCCUGACAUUCCUGAAUCGGUCACCUGUGCUUGCUUAAAAAUUUUCUUGAGCAUUGGUGAUGACAGUCUUCAAGAAACAGAUGUCAGUAUGGAGUCAGUUUUUGACUCUAGUAAUUCUGUACAUGAUGAGAAAAUGGAAGAGCAAACUGAAAUUCUUCAAAAUGGCUUCAAUCCUGAAGGAAGAUAAAUGCAAUAACUGUGGUCAAGAGUUAAAUAAAAAGCCCCAGGACAAAACAAAGGAGACCACUUCAUGCCCUGUGAUACCAAAAGGAGCAGCUCUACUUAAUGCAAUUCUUCAUUCAGCAUAUAGCGAAACAUUUCUUCUGCCUCAUUUGAAAAACAUCCCAGCACAGCAUACCAUGCUGUUUCUCAAGUAUUUGUAUUUCCUUUAUCUGAAGUGUAGCGAAAAUGCUACUAUGACUCUUCCUGGAAUAUACCCACCUACCUAGAACCAGAUUAUGGAUUGGAUAUGUCUACCUCUGGAUGCAAAUUUUACUGUUAUAGUAAUGAUGCCAGAAGCAAAGAGGCUACUGAUAAAUCUUUACAAGUUUGUAAAAUCUCAGAUAUCUGUUUAUUCCGAGCUCAACAAGAUUGAAGUAAGUUUUCGGGAGCUACAGAAAUUAAAUCAAGAAAAGAAUAAUAGAGGAUUAUAUUCAAUUAAAGUGCUGGAGCUCUUCUGAUAUUACCAAUUCUCCUUCAUAGACAUUUUAUAAAGCUCUUUUAUGUGAACUGUUGCUUCAUCCAGGGAAGAAUGGUGUUUUGUUUGCAACCAUCUCGGUGUCAAGAGAAACAUGUCAGUGAGUACCUGGACCAUCACUUAUUGAUGCUCCGGGGUAGGACUGCAGGUUUCACAUGAACCUAUUCUAGGUUGUGGACAUUGGUGUGCAGAGGUUCUGCAAUUUUUAAAAAAUAUGUAACUGGGUUGAUUUUAAGUAAAAUUAUUUGUGUAUUGAUAAAAGUCUAAUUUCUUAU
Rhinopithecus roxellana (golden snub-nosed monkey) is the source of this 1882-nucleotide RNA transcript. It is a transcript of the gene named nucleolar protein 11 pseudogene, with no coding region annotated. The transcript has a single exon. NCBI's taxonomy places the organism in Eukaryota, Metazoa, Chordata, Mammalia, Primates, Cercopithecidae. The record is from RefSeq and is a predicted model, not a curated record.